AAAGCUGGAGUCAUAGGGGGUUAUUCUUGAUAAUUUUGCUCUUUCAGCACUCAUAGACAAUCAUUCACUGUUUCUUAUCAGUUGUUUUCUCUCUCCUCUGUUGUCCCUCUGUCAACAUUUCUGGUUUACUUAUUUAGAUCCCCAUCAUUUCCCACCUGGAUUAUUUCAACUGGCACCCAUGAGAUAGGAGGCUGGUGGGACUUGUUUCCUGGUCAUGACCCCACUGAUGGAAGCAAGAUCUGGUCAAAACAGAUACAGUAAAGAAGUUGAGGCCGGGUGCAGUGGCUCACACCUGUAAUCCCAGCACUUUGGGAGGCUGAGUGAAGCCAAGAACCCUUCCAGGCUAAGCCCCAUUGCCUGCCCUGCAUCAUCAUGGUGACAAUGAAGGGAUGAGACAAGAUGGCAAGGUGGCAAGACAGCUAUUGGUGAUUGGUGAGAUGGUGAGACAGCGAUCAGCAGCUGGCAAUAAGGAAGGAGACAAGACGGUGGUGGCAGCAGAGCAGAGUGAACAGGCAAGUGGUCACAGUGCUGCCUCAUAUCAUACUCAACACUCUGGCCAGCUGAUCACAGGACCAUGCCCCGAUCCCCUCACAGCAGCCAAGCCUGUCCAAGCCAAGGAAACCUGAGGAGGAGACUUUCACCUGAGCUCCACACUGGAGACUGCUUAGAGCC
RNAcentral lists this long non-coding RNA (672 nucleotides) under Homo sapiens (human). RNAcentral's name for it is "HSALNT0343706". The record is from RNAcentral. Lineage: Eukaryota; Metazoa; Chordata; Mammalia; Primates; Hominidae.